GUCUGCUGUGUUGUAUUAGGUCGUGUGUUUGUCUUGUGUGUUGCAAAUGUCGCAGGGCUGUGUAAAUUAUGUUUUUUGUGUAUUGUGCUGUGUCACCGGUGGUGUUGCGUCGCGCGGUGUUUGUGUGUUUGCAGUGUGCUUUGUGGGCUCGGCGUUUGUGUGCGCGUGGACGUGUGUGAGGUUUGUAUUUUGUCUUGCUCGUGCUGUUUUGAUCGUGUAGCGCCUGUAUUGGGCCACUAUGAAGUCGGCUGGUGUGUUGGUGACAUCUGCUGGACGCGAUCGAGCCACUUGUAUUUGAGAGAGUUGCGGCGUGUACGCUGAGCUACUUUUGUGAGAUAGUUUGCUCGUUCGCUUGUAUACAUUUGGCUUUUCGGUUUAAUUUCGCGCGUAUUCGUUUUUGGACUCGGUUUUACAUUCCGGUGUAAAUUAUUUACGAGCUAUUUGGCGCAAUCGCGGAUUUAGUUGUAAAUCCGCGGGACUGCUGGGCACCCGCGUUCGAACGUUUACGGUUCGGCAACCGCGAUUAAAACCACAGAAGAAGAAGGAGACCCGGAAGUGGCAGUCAAUCAAACUCGGCGGCAAAUUGGAAAGGAACAGAGGCGCCAUCUUUAAACAGCUUCCCAACUCGUCCGUUUCAACUUCACACUGGCAAGGUGACCGCGUUCACAUUGUUGUGGAACAACAAACGUUCCAAAGCUCGACGAGUGGGCGAGUUUGAGGAGCAACCAGUCGAGCUGCCAACCGACUUGAGAAUUACAGACUGACUUGACUGUGUCCUGGGACUACUAGCGAGUCAAAAGUCAGGUACUUUCUGGCGGCAGGGCGCUGCCGUGACAGACUUGGAUGCCAGUUGGCAGUCCAUCAUGAACUGCGCUUGCCUGCUCCUGUCAAAUCCCAUCAAGAGGAACGUCACUUCCCCCAAGCCCACCUCAUCUUAAUCGGUCACCACCAAGCAGAAAUGUCCUAAGAAGUCGACGGAUUGACACGUUUGCAUAUUUGAGGAGCCAUUCGGAGGUCCGGCGACGCGACGCUGCCAUCUGGCGGCCGCGAGCAGUGAUGCAGCACUCUGGCGUUUUCGAACAAUGGCGGCGGUGGCGUCUUGACGAGCAGUCCAUGGCAGAAGGUGUCCGCGAGCUUGGCGGAAAGCGUCGCCCCCAGGCCGGAUCCGGGCCCCCCGGCGGUUCCCCGAAUCAGCCUGGCUCAUGUCACGCUGCAGCAAACAGGUGAACUCUUUCUUUGACUUUUUUGUGAGCAUAUCAAUUAACUUACCUGAGCUGACCUUUAACUCUCUACUUUUUGUCUACUUUUUGUCCCAUUUGUUUUCUUUGUUUGUUUGAGAAACAAGAAGAAAUGAAACUGGCCAAUGUGUCAGCAGGGCAGAUUAUUUCAUGCCGCCUUUGAAGACCGUUCUGGAAAGGACGCAUUGGUGGAUGAACACGUACUGCUCCUCCGUCUGGACCAUGGACAGGCGGUGGGAGCGCAUCUCCGACACCAUCCCCAGGAUGUCGGCGAACUCGUGCUCCCGGAUGUGCUGCAUCAGGCGGUCCAACGCCAUGAAGGAAUGUAGUUGGCGUUGAUGUAGUCGGCGCCUUCGUCGUCGUGCAUGGAGAUCAGCCGGACGCGACUGAAGUCGUCUGGCCAAGGAAGAAACAUGCGGCUCGGUCGCUUGCGCUUCAGCUGCGCGAUGGGAGCCGCCGUUGCACAUUUGAGGACCCCCCCGGUGCCUUGAGGACCCUCGCUGAUAUUGAAGCUACCCGAUGCCUCUUGCGGAGAAGCAGCAAGAAGAGAAUCAGCAGGCUCAGCAGCAGGACGCUCAGGACGGCCAAGGCCCAGAUGGCCGCCACGCCGGGGUUGGUCUCUUUGGCUGCCCGCGUGCACGCACACCCGCAGGCGUUAGGGACACUAACUAACGCAUCCCGUCGUCGCCGUUUCGUUCAGGUUAGGCUCCUGUGUGUGCGGCAGCGCCCCCUACCGGCCGUGGUGAUGGUGAUGUGGGCGGGCUUGCCGGGCGCGCUGUAGCUGACGCCGACCACGCUGCAGUUGUAGCUGGACGACGGCAUCAGGCCGGAAACGGUCAGCACGUGCGAGCUGGACACCUGAGGCUCUCGAGUCUGAAGCGGACCCAGAAGGAGCAGCACCUGGUAGUGGUCCACGACGCCGUCCUCGCUCCACAGCAGAGUUACCGACGAGUGCGUGGCGUUGACGGCGUACACCGACCUGGGGGGCGCCGGUUCUGCGGUGAAAACACGCCGGACGUCAGAAUCGGCUCAAUCUCAUCGACGAUUAGCACGCGUGAAUGCUCGGACCCAGUUUGAUGACGCUGGGAAGGGACGUGUUGCGGCCGCGCUCGGCGUACGCCGUCACCGUCAGGUUGUAGAUGUCGCCGGGCGGCAGGGGCAGGCCGGCGCUCAUCACGUUGCGAGGAACCUGGCAAGCACGCGUUCACGGCUUUCAAGUUGACACGCUACGCCCGGCGCAGGACGUUGGCACUAAACGAGUCGACGACACCAUCUAUCGGAGAAGCGAGCUCUUCCGAGACGCAACGAGAAGAGGACAAAAGGGAAAACUCGACGACAAGAGGAGAGAACAAGCCGAGGGUGAACCUUGUAUCGGACGUCGGGACAAAACCGGUUCAAGCUCGUCCGGGAGAAAGAAGUCGAAACUCAAGAGGAUAAACAUUGAGGAGGACAAAAGUAGAAGAGAAAAAACUAGUGGAGAAGAAAAGAAAGUGAGCCCUCACGUCCGUCGAGAAGCGUCUCCCGGGACCUUUCUUGCCGACCGCCGCCACCUGCCAGUGCGUAAUCCUGGAGUGCGACAGGUCCACGAAGAGUUCCCCGUAUGUCCAGCGAACAUGGAGGACGCCGUGGGAGUAAUCCGCCACCGAGAUGUGAGGCGCCUCCGGAGCUGUGCGACGAAAGACAACAACGCUCGUGAGUGCGGGGGAGUGGGGGUGGUAUGCCUCUGGUGUGGGUACCUGUGACAAAGCUGAUGGUGGAGCCAUCGCAGCAACUGAGUGGUGGGUCGCCCCACGUCACCAUGGUAACGCGGAAGUUAUAGUGCCAAGCCGGCAGCAGAUCGGUCACCCUCUAAAAAGGAAGACAACGCCUUGAGAUCAUCAACCCCAGACCUGACCCCAGGUUAGUUGGUGGCACAUUUGGAGGUGUUUGCUUUUUUUUGGGUGGGGGGGUCAAUUCUUAUUCUUUGAAUGUAUUGAUUUUUACCACUGAUGCUCUGACGGAGGCGGUGGCGGCAAUCUCGUAGUACGUGGUCCACUCGGAGCUGAGGGUGACGGGGUUGAAGAAGAAGGUCUGGAGGACAUACUUGCGGAAGGCCACGUGAGACGGACGCUGCCAGCUCAAGACCACCGCCGUGGGGCCCAGCGGGUACGCGGCCAGCUCUCGGACGCCCGUGGGCUCUGGCGCGACAACGGCCCAUCGUCACAAUCGUCAUUGAUCUCUGCCGCGAUGGAUUUGUUGCAAAAGUGGAACGGAGGCAAAUGGACUCGUUGGUCCUUGACUUUUCUCCAGUUUGGGUGACCUCUCUACCCGAAGAACAUCUCGGAUAACCAAGAGGAGUCCAGUUGCCUCGACGUGGCAAUGUGAUGCGAGCGCAAAUCACCAAUAUCCAUGACGACGGGUUCCGAGGGAGGACUGAUCAGGGGUCCGUUUGUGUGGUAGACCAGCACCCGGUACUGAGCCCCCGGAGUCAAGUUGCCGAUGAUAUCGCUGGUUGAGUUUUCCUGUCCAAAAGCGCGGCGAUGUGAGCCUUUCAAAGUCCGAGCAGGAAGUGAGUUGGCGGGAGGCGUUACCUCGCCGCAGUAGUCGCUUUCCAUCCUUUGGUUGGGGCCGGGCUUCAGGCAGGUGGUGGACACCACCGACACCACGCUGCCGUCGUGGGUCUCCGGGGACUGCGCCCAGGAUACGGCGGCCGUGCUGGAGUCCAGCAAGCGCACCGUGACUUUCCGUGGACGCUGGCGUAGCUCACGCAGGACCUCGCCGUCGGGACCUGGGAAACAAAACUCCAAGUCAGGCGAGGAUGGCGGCCGAACUUUGUUAGGCGGAGCCCAAGUCAUCCAUACUCGUAUGUCACGACCUUGUUUAUCCGAGUUGCCUGUUCUUACGAUACGAGGGUCGCCUGUACGACCGGAGACAAAUUCCACGUGCGUUCUGACAAUACUUGGCCGAUAAAGAUGAUUCUGAUUCUUUUGAUUGACGUUUAGUUGUGAGCAAGCGGCAAGCAAGACCGGUCACGUAAAAUGACAUCGAGGGCCAGAUCGGAGCUCGUCUGGGGUACUUGGGAAACCGGAGGUCCACGGCGACACACCGAGGUAGAAGCUCGGCGAAGAACUCAUGAGUACUUUCAU
Long non-coding RNA from Hippocampus zosterae (dwarf seahorse), 4363 nucleotides. RefSeq lists it as uncharacterized. The record is from RefSeq and is a predicted model, not a curated record. The transcript is spliced from 10 exons. Lineage: Eukaryota; Metazoa; Chordata; Actinopteri; Syngnathiformes; Syngnathidae.